RNAcentral lists this ribosomal RNA (496 nucleotides) under uncultured bacterium. Its description in RNAcentral is "partial 16S ribosomal RNA". It matches the Rfam family "Bacterial small subunit ribosomal RNA", at positions 28 to 506 of the family's 1533-position model. The record is from RNAcentral.
GAUGAACGCUGGCGGCGUGCCUAAUACAUGCAAGUCGAGCGAACAGACGAGGAGCUUGCUCCUCUGACGUUAGCGGCGGACGGGUGAGUAACACGUGGAUAACCUACCUAUAAGACUGGGAUAACUUCGGGAAACCGGAGCUAAUACCGGAUAAUAUAUUGAACCGCAUGGUUCAAUAGUGAAAGACGGUUUUGCUUUCACUUAUAGAUGGAUCCGCGCCGCAUUAGCUAGUUGGUAAGGUAACGGCUUACCAAGGCAACGAUGCGUAGCCGACCUGAGAGGGUGAUCGGCCACACUGGAACUGAGACGCGGUCCAGACUCCUACGGGAGGCAGCAGUAGGGAAUCUUCCGCAAUGGGCGAGAGCCUGACGGAGCAACGCCGCGUGAGUGAUGAAGGUCUUCGGAUCGUAAAGCUCUGUUAUUAGGGAAGAACAAAUGUGUAAGUAACUAUGCACGUCUUGACGGUACCUAAUCAGAAAGUCACGGCUAACUACGU